RNAcentral lists this ribosomal RNA (484 nucleotides) under uncultured bacterium. RNAcentral describes it as "partial 16S ribosomal RNA". It matches the Rfam family "Bacterial small subunit ribosomal RNA", at positions 30 to 507 of the family's 1533-position model. The record is from RNAcentral.
AUUGAACGCUGGCGGCAGGCCUAACACAUGCAAGUCGAGCGGAUGAAGGGAGCUUGCUCCUGGAUUCAGCGGCGGACGGGUGAGUAAUGCCUAGGAAUCUGCCUGGUAGUGGGUGAUAACGUCCUGAAACGGGCGCUAAUACCGCAUACGUCCUGAGGGAGAAAGUGGGGGAUCUUCGGACCUCACGCUAUCAGAUGAGCCUAGGUCGGAUUAGCUAGUUGGUGGGGUAAAGGCCUACCAAGGCGACGAUCCGUAACUGGUCUGAGAGGAUGAUCAGUCACACUGGAACUGAGACACGGUCCAGACUCCUACGGGAGGCAGCAGUGGGGAAUAUUGGACAAUGGGCGAAAGCCUGAUCCAGCCAUGCCGCGUGUGUGAAGAAGGUCUUCGGAUUGUAAAGCACUUUAAGUUGGGAGGAAGGGCAGUAAGUUAAUACCUUGCUGUUUUGACGUUACCAACAGAAUAAGCACCGGCUAACUUCGUG